GACGAACCGUGCGAACGUUGUUCGGAAUCACUGGGCUUAAAGGGCGCGUAGGCGGGUCUGCAAGUCCGGGGUGAAAGCCCCCAGCUCAACUGGGGAAGUGCCUUGGAAACUGCGGGUCUUGAGGGAGGGAGGGGCAUGUGGAACUUCGGGUGGAGCGGUGAAAUGCGUAGAGAUCAGCAGGAAUACCCGUGGCGAAGGCGGCCCCCUGGGCCGAACCUGACGCUGAGGCGCGAAGGCUAGGGGAGCGAACGGG
RNAcentral lists this ribosomal RNA (253 nucleotides) under uncultured prokaryote. RNAcentral's name for it is "partial 16S ribosomal RNA". It matches the Rfam family "Bacterial small subunit ribosomal RNA", at positions 524 to 776 of the family's 1533-position model. The record is from RNAcentral.